Amaranthus tricolor (Joseph's coat) is the source of this 16625-nucleotide RNA transcript. It is a transcript of the gene named protein DETOXIFICATION 24, with no coding region annotated. The record is from RefSeq and is a predicted model, not a curated record. Lineage: Eukaryota; Viridiplantae; Streptophyta; Magnoliopsida; Caryophyllales; Amaranthaceae. The transcript has 8 exons.
CAUUUGCUGAUCCAACUCCAUUAGAGUAAUAUCAUAUUUGUAGUGCAUGCGUCAGUGCUUGCGCUGUACCCCUGUCCUCUCCUCAUCAAAUAAUCUGAGUAAUCUAAUAGAAGUACUCUCUAAAACUACCUAAUCUAACAUUUUUGUUGCUAUUCUACCCUUUCCCUUUUAAUGGGAUUCUUUAUUCAAUAAAUUACACAUACGGCUUACUGCAAUCAGAUCCAGCUUACCAAAAAACAAGUAGAAAAUGACCUUUGAAAGUUGAAAGUAGCCGCCUUUUGCCGAAUUAACAAAACCCACAAUUACUUUAUAUUAAAAUUUCUUAAAAAGGGAAAAAAAUGGAAGAAAUACGACAAACAGAGGACCCUUGUGUUGUUUUAUACAAGUGUUCUUAUUUGAAGUGUGUGAAUUGUGUGUUGCAGCAGGAGAAGCCAGGAGAUGAUGGGUUCAGGUCAAGAAGAAAGGGCCAGGCUGAUUGUAUACGAAGAAGAUGAAAUGAAUCAAGGGUUUAAGAGAAGAGUAUGGGAAGAAUCAAAAAGGAUGUGGGCAAUUGCAUUUCCUGCAAUGGUGUGCCGUGUAACAACUUAUGGAGCUUAUGUGGUUUCUCAAGCUUCUUUUGGGCAUAUUACUCAAGUUGAUCUUGCUGCUUAUGCUCUUGUACAAACCAUUUUAGUCCGCUUUUCUAAUGGUAUCCUGCUAGGCAUGGCAAGUGUGACGGAAACUCUUUGUGGAGAAGCCUAUGGAGCGAAACAAUAUGACAUUCUGGGAGUACACUUACAAAGGUCAUGGAUUGUAAAUUCUGCUGUAGCAACUGCAAUGGUGCCGUUCUAUGUUUAUGCUACACCUCUCCUCCGAGUCCUAGGGCAAGAGGAGGAUAUUGCUGUUGCUGCUGGAAUCAUAUCAUUGUGGUUCAUCCCCGUUCUAUAUCUCAAUGUUUAUGGCAUGACAAUGCAAAUGUUUUUGCAAGCCCAACAUAAAAAUACAGUGGUUACAUGGCUGUUUACGAUAUUGUUUUUUGUGCAUGCCUUGCUGUCAUGGGUUUUUGUGUAUAUAAUGAAUUGGGGGCUUCCUGGGGUAAUGAUUGCAUUGAUCAUUGCAUUUGGGGUAAAAGUUCUAGGUGAGGCUAUUUACAUAUUUGGAGGUUGGUGCCCUGUUACUUGGAAGGGAUUUGAUAGAGCCGCCUUUGCUGAACUAAUGCCUGUUCUUAAGUCCUCAACUUCUUCAGGAGUGAUGCUUUGCAUCCAGGUCUGGUACAAUGCUGUUCUUGUUCUAUUAGCAGGAUAUAUGAAAUAUGCAACAGUUGCCAUUUCUGCUUUCUCCAUUUGCCUAAAUGUGAGUACAUGGGAGCUGAUGAUAUGCCUUGGCUUUCUUGGUGCUGCAUGUGUUCGAGUUUCAAAUGAGCUUGGAAGAGGAAAUGGCAAGGCAGCAAAGUUUUCGGUUGAAGUGAUCUUAUAUACUUCACUUUUCAUUGGCAUAUUCUUUUGGAUUUUAUGUUUGGCAUUUGGCCAUCAGAUUUCCUACUUAUUUACAAGUAGUGAGGAAGUUGCAAAAGCUGUGUCUAGCCUUUCUGUUCCGCUUGCCUUUUCAAUCCUGCUUAAUAAUGUUGGACCAGUAUUAUCAGGGGUGGCAAUUGGCUGUGGUUCGCAAGGAUUAGUCGCAAUUGUUAAUAUGUGUUCGUAUUAUGUUAUCGGGAUCCCAGUUGGAGUUCUUCUUGCAUAUGCUGCAGAUUUAGAGGUUAAAGGAAUAUGGAUAGGAAUGAUGUGUGGAAUGGUGACACAGACAAUUGCACUACUCUACAUUACUUGGAAAAUUGAUUGGGCUGAAGAGGUAAUAUGAAGCCAUUUUUAAUUUUCACUCUAUUCACUUGCAGUUUCUUUUUAGGGGCAAUCUCAUUAGUUAUCCCAAGUUUAUGGAUGUUCUCUUUGGUAAGCCAAAAGAUUUAUUCUCCAUGGUAGCCCUUUGUUUCAAAAAGUUAUCCAUCAUGGCAAGAAUGAGCUUAAAACAAUUGGACUACUUUAACUUUGUUAACCAAGGUUAGUAUCAAAGGAAAUGGCAUUUUAACCAUUUUUCUAAACAUAUUGAGCUAAAAAGGAAUAAAUGGAACCACCCAUUCCUUCAAUUUAUUACUCUUGCUCUUUUGAUUUAAUGCAACGUUGGAGGAAUUUUUUUUAAUGUCAUCAAAUAUUCUGAAAUCUCUAAACUUGUUCUGCAGAUAUUAUAAAUAGCUUAUUUUAAUGCUCCAAAAUUUGUAUACAAAAUAACUAAAGCGUGACCUUUUGUGUAACAAAAAAUGAACUCUAAUCUGUAUAAACCAAAACUGAACUCUUACAAAAAAGAAUUACACCUUCUAGUCCUCGACUACACAGGUUGAGAUGCGGAAAUGGGAAAGGGUACUUGUCUUAGAUAUAUCCUUCUUAUUCCGUCCAACAAAUUUGUUUGCUGUCAAAGUUCUCUUGCAAGUCAUUGCAUUGUGCCCAAAUGACUUGCACAGUUGCAGUUGCUGCAGUUGUGGUUUUUUUUUUCUUCUCUUCGUUCUUCUUCAUCAUCUCUCUUGCUGUUUCUGCAAGGCCUCCCUACCCAUGAUCUCAGGUCCAUCAAUAUCUGGCCAUUGUAUAGGAUAUAAACUUGAUCCCAUAAGAAUAAGUAACCUUAUAAUUUCUAAUAGAGUUCAAUCAUGUGCAAACUGAUGUAUCGUGGGUCCAACCUUCCAUGUAUAACUUCUCUCCUCAUAUCUGCCAAGAACCACAUAAGCACUUUGUUUGUUAAGGCUGACAGGAAGAAAGCGUGUCUCUAAGACAUGAUAGAGGGUCUUGUCGAAAACCCUAAGCUUUUGAGGGACCUUUAAAUGGACAAUAUUGGAGAGAUACUUUGAUGUGGGCAUCCUCCUAAAGAAGUCCUAGAGAGAAAACAAGAAAAGAGAGCCACCUAAUGAGGGGGAGUAGCCUUCAAGAAAGAUUUCUCAAUUGCAAAGGGUUUAAGGGGUUGCGCAAUGAGAGCUUGUAAGCAUAGUACAAAUAUUGCAUACAUCACUGUACCGUAAAAUUUUUAAGCUUACUGUGACCAAAAUUUAGGCUAAACAACUGCAAAAUCAUUUGCAUUGAUCACAAAAGGUGUUUUUCGACCAUUUUGCAAUCACCACUAGUUUCAAGAUUUUGUAACAUGCUUGCAAAAGCUAGGUGAGCAUCAAAUCAUAAGGUUUUGAGAGAGAAAACACUAGAGCACUUAGAGAACCAAAAAGAGUGUAAUCUUAUUGUUUAUGUAAUUGUUGCAACACGUUAAUGAUCAAAUCUAUUGAUUAAGAAAGGGUAACAAAGUUAAUCGUAAUUAUUGUGUAUUGUUAUUGUUUAUGACAUUUUUAUAUUGCUCUUGUUGUGUUUUGGUUGCUUGUAUUUGACACGCAGUUGUUCGCACGACCACGGUUGUCAAAGAUAAAGAUUUAUAACCUGAUCACCUAUAGAUAGAUUUAGUCUUAUGAUAAAUUCAAGUCAAAAUUUCUUGUGUUUAAAAAUAAAGAUUUAUAACAUUUAUGCAAGGAUGAUCAUCAUAGUGGGCAGACUCACACUAUUAAACUUCAAAUUCUGAAAAACAACUAACCAUGGGAAUCGGGAGAUGCGAAAAUCAUGACUAAUAUCAUAACAUUAAAACAUAAAUAGAAAUAAAAUCAGCAUCAUAUCGAAAUAGGAUUGACGUUGGAAUCUAAAUUAGACUUAGCGUUGGUGUACCUUCAAAGUCUAAAGCCUAAUUUGGAAGAACUAAGCAAAUGACCCAAUUGGUGUACCGUGAAACUAGAUGAACAUUCUAAUAUAAACACGUUGCACAUCAUGAUUAAACUAGCAAACAAUCAAACCAGUACAAGAUAGGCAAUUAUGAACCCAUUCAAAUUAUGUUUCUAUUCAAUUAUUCAAUCAUUUGAUAUGAUUUUACCCCUUUUUACCCUAUAAGUAAUCUUUAGCGACAUAAAUAGAUAUAAACUAUGUAAGCAAUAAAGAAAGCAACCAAAGAACAUGAGAGACGAAGAAGAGAAUUUAACUUUAUCCAAAUCAAUAAAUGAAGGCAUUUGAGGUGUCAAACUAAAAAAAAGACAAUGUUCUCAAUGAACUAGGGUACUAUGUGUACUAAAAGUAGGGAUAAAAGAUAUAUUUUAGUCUAAAAGGCUCGAAAUGGUCGAAAUUGUAAUAUCUCGUAUUGGGCUUUGGGCCCCACACAUCUAGAGAGAUUAUUGUAUUUCAUUUGGCUAUAAGCUUGUACUCUAGUGUCUGUUUGAGGCAUAUAAUAUGUCGAAGGAAAACUCUUGAAGUCUAGUUUCAAACACUAUAGGUCUUGCAUCAUUUUGACUUCUUAAUCAAAAGUUAUGAUCAAAAUAGUAGCCCUUUUCUUAUCUUCUUGGCCCAACUUUACCAAGUCUUAUAAAUGUGUUUCUAUCAAUUAGUACAUCUCAUUUUCACAUCUUUAUGUGAUAUAACCUUUAAACAACAAAGGGGCACAAAACUCUCGAACAAGAGUAAAAUCCAUUGUAAAACAUGAGAUUUAAUAUGGAAACAAGUAUUACGCACAUAAAAUGGGGGCUAAAAUUCAUAGAAAAAUAGGACACAUUGGUUUACUUUACCCUAAAUCUACUCCUAUUUCAUAACAAUUGUUAUGGAGAGUCUAAUGUUGUUGAUCCUUAAAGUCUUUGUUAUAGAUUUUUGAAUCAUUAAAGUUGUAGAGGAGAAAUAAAGCUAGGGGUCAAGAGAUGGUGGAUUACGAAAAUUUCUUUAUGGUUUUAAAGAAAAGAGGUUUUGUUUAAACCCUUAAUAAAAAAAUUAUACAAGGAUUAAAAAGUUUAAUGGAGUUUUCCUAGGAGGAGGGUGAAAUCAAGUAUUGAAGGACACUUAAUUGACUUUGGUGGAAGAGCGAUGAUGUGAAAUGAAGUCUUUGUUAUCAAGGAUUGAAAACUUUGAAGAAGCAACUAGGUAUAGUAGCAUUGAAAAGAAACAAAAUCCAUCUAAGGAUGGCAGUGAGGUGAAAUUAGGAUGUACCAUAGUAGAGAGGGAAACAAAAGUUAACUAUUGUGAGAACUGAGAACGUGUGCUUCCGUUGCAACAAUUAAAGGUUUGAGAGAAAAUGAAGAGUAAGGCAAACAUGAAAUAAAAAUAAGGUCGUUACAUUACAUAACAAUUGCUUUAUAACAAAUAUUGUGCUAAUCGAAUCGCAAAACCCCUUAAUCAUGGAAUAACAACCUUAUUAAGUUGUCAGUCUAACAUUUUGCCACAAUUAUCUUUUUUUUUUUGGUAGUGUAUUCGACUCUAAAAGUUCUAAUAUAAGCAUUUAUUCAAGUAUAUGUUCUAGGAUACUAGGGUACUUGAAUUACUAUGAUAAAACAAUUUUUUUUAAAGAUAAUAAUUCAAAUUGCGAUGGACACGAAAUGAGUUGUAACACCGUGAAGUGCCGCAUCCGCGCAAUCACAACUAUCACCACAAGCACGACAGCGUCUGAAUUUUUUCUAUGCGUGCAAUGAAUCCAAUCAAAGACUUGGAAAGGUGAGGGUGCUAGCAAAGGGUGUAGGAAGAAGAUAAGAAGAAAAUAAAUGUCAAAAAGGACUUGAAGAAAAAGAGGAUUGCAUUUCAAAUGAGGAAGAUGGAAGAGUUGAAUCUUUGAUUAAGUUAUCAAAGAGAAUUGAAAAGUGGGAGAGUUCCCCAAUGUGGAGAGACAUGUGUUGAUGACCGAAAGUGAUGAUGGUAGUAGAGGUGAAUGGAUCUUUUACUAGAGGCACUCACCUCUAUUUUGUAGAGAUACGAAAAUGUUCUUGAACAUGAAGGCUUGUGAAGGUGAGAGGAUGUCUUUGCCGAGUGGAGAGGAAGUUGAGGUAGAAUUUAAUGGAAAAGUGUAUUUGAAGAUGCACAAUUGUGUUGUGAGGUUAUUUGGGAUUGUGAAAUAUCUUUCAAAGAUGAUGAGAAACCUUAUCUAGUUAAGGAGAUUAGUAAAAAAAGGAUGCACUAUCAAGCAUAGUGCAAAAAUAAGGUCGCAUCAUCAUAUCACGACUGUAUUGUGAAGAUUUUUUAGUUUACCGCGAUCGAAAUAUAGGCUGCAUUGACUGCAAAAAUUAUCCGUAUUGAUAUCGCGACUGAGGAUGGCUAGAUAGAGUAUGGUUCUAUUAAAAGGAUUGAUGAGGUGCAAUAAUGAUUAUGUGUUGCAUUGUGGAGGUAGCCAACAAGGCAAUAAGGAUGAUGCAAUGUUGAAGCCACUAAGAAGAAUGACGUUUUAAAGCCAUUGCCUGACGAAGAUUUGCGUUUUCGGAUGAGUAAGCACCAUUUUGCAUUGUGAAGAUUUGCUUGUCCGGAUGAGCAAACCACAUGCUCGGAUGAGAAAGCCUAAUGCUUAGACAAGCACCAUUUUGCAUGAAUAAGCAACAUUUUGAAGCCAUUGCCUGACGAAGAUUUGCGUGUCCGAGCAUACGUGCGUGCAGGUCAUCAAAGAGGUUUUUGUUGAAAACUUCAAGCAUUUGAGGGGCCUUUAUAAGACGAAACCGUUGAGAUAAUACAAUGUUGGAAAAUCUCCAAGAGAACUACUAAAGAGAGAGAACAAGAACCGAGAGCCACCGCUUAAGGAGGAGUAAUAUUCAAGAAUGAUCUCUCUAUUGUAGAGGGUUUGAGGGUAGCUCGUAAGAAAGCGUGUGAAAGCUAGUUGAGUGCCCCAAAGUGUGAGGGUUGAAGAGUGUUAAUACUAAGUAAGUUUGCGAGCAAAAAAUAGUGUUUCUAAUCUUAUUGUUAAUGUAAUUGUUGAGUUGCAUAUUAAUGACAAGUUUUGUUGGUUGAGGAAGGGCAACCAAAUUACCCAUAAUUUUUUUGUGUAUCAUUGUUAUUGGAACUUUCGUAUUGUUGUGGUUUGUGUGAUUGAAUUCUCUCAAACCUAAUGAAAUGCAAGUGUUUUGCAUGUUUGGUGACAAACAAAUACACAAAGUACACAAAAAAACAGAGCACAACAACCAACAAGAAGAAUAACAAGAUUUAUGAGGUAUCCAAGGAUAUCUCUCUCUCAAAUAAAGAUUACUUUUAUUAAUAUACUCAACAAUACAUUAAUGACAAGCCUCACAACCUUUGAGAACACUCUCAAAGAAAAAAUUGAACCUUUGAUGUCAAUCUCUCACAAACAACCUAAUACAAGGAAGAAAGAAAGCUCUUGGCUAAACCCUAGUUGUUUCUACAUAUUAGUCUCUCCACACUCAUUGAAGUAUGUUCUAAGACCCUUAUAUAUAGUCUAAGACAUAUUAGAAACCCUAAGAUCAAAGGGCUUGAAGCCCAACCAAUUCCGCAACAAAACCCUUGCUCGACUUGGUCGAGUAGCUGUCUUCAGCUCGAGGGGCUGCCUUGGUCGUGCACCAUUUCCCUCGAUCUUUGCCUUGCCCAAAGUUCUCCAAAUCAUCAACAUUAAUCACCUCAUCAAGUGAUCCAAAGCUAAUUCUCCCAUAUUCGCACACACUUCAUCACUCUUAAGUGUGCAUGCCAUUGAGUAAGCUACUAGGUGAUCAAAGUCACCUCCAACAUUGUGAGAGUUGGCUCUUGCUCUAACACCUAAUUUUCCCAUCCCUAUAACAGUAGCCAUUUGAAUACCAUAAAUAGUUCAUAUUAACUCAUUCAAUGACUUUGCACAUACAACAUUGUUCACUUUGAUAUCCAUCAUCAACAUUUCAACCUCCUAGUAGUAGUCGCCCAUUUUGUUGUGACCAUCUGCUUGCUUGUUUCCAAACUCAUGCAUUUAUCAGCAGAAAACAUAAUGGUAUAUCUAGAGUUGUUAGCUCUAUUUACCAUUAUUGGAAAGCUAGACUAUAUGAAGCAAUUCUUUAUUAUGUCCAUAAAUAAUUGUCAAGGUUUGAUGUAUAAUUUAGAAGAAUUAGAUUAACAAAAAGGGGUUUUCCAAAUGUAACAAGGUUAAGAAAAUGAAUGUGUUUGGCUUAGAAGGUCUAGGUAUAAAAAUGGAAUGAUUUUAAGGAAUUUAUGUGGGUGUAAUAUCGAAUGGUAAAAUACUGUUUGGGUUUGACAGGGUUUCAAGGGUUUUGGAUAGGGUUUAAAGGUAUUCUGGAACAGGUUUUUCAAGGUUUUGAAACACGUUUCAAAGACUCUUUUUCUGGUAUUUUAAUGUUAUGGAAAAUAAAUGAAUAAACUAGGAAUACUCACUAGAUUUUUAUGAUUCAAGGAUAUGCAAGCAAGGAACACUCACUCUAAUUAAUCAUACAAAUUAGUAUGUUUGGAACUCUCAAAACACUCACUAAUUCCUUCAACAAUGAGAAAUUAACCUCACUAUUGGAAAAUCAUUCAAAAUACUUAAUCACAAGUAUAAAAACAAAUGCAUAAGACAGAGCUUUUGAUUGGAUUCUUUUAUUCACGAAAAUAAGGCCUUUAAAUAGGCUUAUAAAACAUAAGAAAAUUCUAGAGAAAGACCCUUCACAUGACUACAAGCAAUCAAGUGAUUACUGAUUACAUUAAAACAUACUCAAAAUUCUAUGAAACCCCUUUCAAAUUCUACUACUGAAAUUACAAUCUUUAUUGAAAGAAAACUAAACAACUAUACUAAUAAAAACAUUAAUUAAAAUUCUCAAAUUCCAACCAUUAAAAGAUAAUAUUUCGUCCCUUAUGAUGCUUGUGACCCGAAACUCUUGGUUGCUCAUGGAAUGUUUCCUAUCUUUUGAUAGGCUUCUUGAAUUCCACCGUUAAAGAUGAACAUAAACCAACCAUAUUGAAGGGGAAUGAAGAGCUGAAAGAAUUCAGCCAUAAUGAAGGAAUAAUUCAGCAAAAUGUAAAUAAUGGAAUAAAAUACUUGCCAUAUUUAACCACCGAAUAAAUGAGGAAAUAAUACCCUCAUGAAUAUUCCUAUUUAAAGCUAAUUGAAGGCUAAUUUGACUGGCUUAUUUUUGGAAAGAAUUUCAAAUAAACAUCCUUUUUUUAUUAUAUUGAAAUCGUAGCUCUCUUGCACCCUUAAGGACGAAUUCUGGUGCCCUUUAAAUUCCUACCAAGACCUUAGGAUACAAGUCAAAGCAAGACUCGUAAUGAAAGGACCAUGUAACUCGUAAGAAUCAAAUGAUGAAUCUUCGAAGGACUUAACUAGGAGUAUAUCUUUAGAAUGUUCUUGGACUGAAUUUACAUCAAGGUUUCAACAUAAUCUUACCAAAAACUUCAUCCUUGUAUAACUUGUCCAUUCAACCCUCUUCCUAUCGGUAUCCUUCUCCCUUUCUUGAUUAUAAUAGAGCUCUUGUAAGUUGUGACUGCUUGUGUCACUCAACUAAACACUACCUAUUAAUAGUGGCGGAUCCAAACAAAAAAAAUUAGGUGAGCCAAGAUUUGAAUUCUCAAUAUCUACCUUUCUAUUCUAAUUUUGUAUAAUGACCCAAAAAUUUCGGAGAGGCAGCUCCUUUAGGCCACACUAAAGAUCUGCCAUUGCCUAUUAAAACGUUCUUUCUUGCCAUUGCUUUUUGGUAUUUUCUUGCCAUGUAGAGUAGAUCUUAUACCUUUGCCUUUCUGGUACUUAUUGAUUGAAUCUUUCCAAAAUAAGGUCUUUUUAAGUUCACAUGUUACCUUUAACUUAGAUAAAACCUUUGAUUAAACCAUUCAUUAACAGCUUAUUCGAUUCUUUAUAUUUAAUGACUAAUAAAAAUGAGUGAAACGAGAGCUAGAUUAGAGUCUAAGAGGUAUUCUCAAACUCUAAUAUCACCAUGAUCGAAAAGGUUUGAAGUACCUUGAUGAACUAUAACAAUUUCAAUGAAUUAACAAUGUUUGAAAGAAAAUAAUCAAUGCAAAAUUGACACAAUGAUUUAAGAGGUUCACCCAAUUAUGGCUAUGUCCUCCGAGGUGUGUAGUAUCUUGUUCAUACUAUUUCAAUGGAGUAUAACACCUCUUACAAAUGAAGUAUUACAAUUGAGUAAGAGAACUAAAGGCUAUGUGUUUUAGGCUUGGGGGUUUGUGUUUGAUGUUGUUUUGAUGAGCAUAUGAGCUCCCUAUUUAUAGGAGUAAUUACAUUUAAUGAUAAUGCAUACUUAAUACAAUGGAUUAACUACAUAAUAAACAACCCAAGCAAGUGAAGAAAACAGGAUCCAAUGCUGUCAGACAACCCUGCUCGUUCGAGCCACUGAAAUGCUCGUUUGAGCAAGUCUUCUAGAAGGCUGUUGCUGCCAACUUGUGAAGUGCUUGUUUGAGCAAAAUAACAGCUCGUUCGAGCACUGCUUCCAGACCCAUUCUAAUUAGCUACUGAUCUUCAUGCUCGUUCAAGGCACUUUGGAUUCUUCACUUGCCUCAUUCAAGACGUAUUACACAGAACCAAAACUGAUGCAAUUCCCUUAUUAACCUGAUUCAUCAUGCCAUCUUAAUUCCCAUGUUAAGAGCUGAAAAUGAAAGCCUCAAAGAGGUUUAACAAUGAAAAACAAAUGAAAAAUAUAAUGCAAAUAUGAACACAGUGUAUAUGAGGUAUCUAGGAUACCUCCCCCUCAAAUGUAGUUUAUUAUAUUGAAUUCAACAAUUACAAGUAUAAUAAACCUCCUAUUCUCUUGAGAACAAUCUCUCAAGAUCACAAAUACUAAAGCAAAAUAAGAACACUCUCAAGUUUCUAACCAUGCAAUAGCCCUCACAAUAUGUGUGUUUGUGGUGAAAAUUACUGAGUGAUGAAUCCUAUUUAUAGGCAAGGUAUUCAUCACUCUUAGUAUUCCCUCAUAAAUCACCAUAAACUCACAUGUAACUGAUCGGGACUUUAUGUCCUUCAAUAGUAAUACCGCAAGUGCACGGCGUAGAGUAGUACGUCGGCAAGUACGGGUCGAAUCCACAAGGAGUGGGAAUUAAGUUAAUAGUUUCUCAAUCGAUUAGUGUGUUCGAAAACGUAUAAUAUAAUGUUUGGAGAUAUUAAAAGAAAAUUAAAACGAGCAAUAAAAAAAAACAAAGAAACUUAAUGAAAACAAAUUAGCAAAGUAAAUAAGGAUACAAUGAACUAAAAGCAAGGAUAAAAUGAUCAAAAAAAAAACUAAGAGGCAUAGAGUAGGCCUUCUCACUAAAGUAGUGUUUACUAAACAUCAACCUUAGGUCAUGGAUAUUUUGUUAUGGGGAAGAACGUAUCAUAAGUACUAAUGUUCUCUCUCGAACAACAAAAGCUUCUUAACCAUACUCAACUACCUAUUCUCAUGGAGCUAAUACAUGAUUUAAGACAUGAAGCACACAUUCAACAUUUCCAAUCAAAGCAUCUACCUAUUCUCAUAGAGAUGUCUUAACUUUUAAGCAUAGAUUAUCGUUAAAAAUCGACUCUCGCCCUCAAUUCAACAACACCACAACAUGAUAGCAAAAUCCAUCUUAAACCAUAAACAACACAACCAAACCAAAGGUAAAGAAAGCAAUUCAAACUACAUUCAUGGUGAUAAUGCCUAGCCUAAGCCAAAACAAACUACUCACUCAUACUCAUAAUGAAAUUGUAGAAUGCAGCAAGUCAAGAAUCGUGAAUGAACAAAUUAAGCUAGUGUAUCCUAAAGAGAUGGAAUCAAUAUAAGUUGAAGAGCUACAAGCAUGAAUAUAUGAAACUAAAGCAAAUAAUCAACGGGAUUAAGCGACAUGAAUUGAAAACAAUAUAGCAAGGAUAGAAGUUACUCUUUUGAGCUCAAUCUAAGGAUGAACAAGAUGAAUUGAUGAUUCAAAGUAAUACCUUCCAAAAGCUUCAAUAAUAGUACAUCAAUGGUUCAAGAAUUCCAAAUUGCAAAACAUUACAAUAAAGGAUAAAGUAAAGAUUGUAUUUGGAAAAUGAAAAUACUAGAUUGAAUUGAAAUAGAAAUUAUGCUAACACUAAUUCUUAAUUGAAAUGAAAGCAAGACUAUGAAAAAUACAAAAAUUACUCAAGAUGAAAGGUUGAAAAAACUGAGAUGCAAGCUCCUUCUUCCUCUUCUCUAUUUAUAGGCUUCAAAAACAAGUGGGGGUGGUGGUUUCAUGAUUGCUCCACCACCCCUAGGUUAUAGGUGAGCAGUGUAUGCAACUAGAGGGGCUAGUUUGUGCUCGGUGUAUAUGAUUAGAUCCUGAAAUGAAAUAAAAUACCAAAGCAACAAAACAAGCGUAAAAUCCAAUAAACCAAUGCAAUAACAUGUAGUUUACUCACACUAAACAAGCCACUUAUAAGGGUAAAAAUAAAGAUAAAAUGUAGCUAACAAAUUCCCCCAAGCCAGACCUUUGCUUGUCCUCAAGCAAGCAUUGCAUCAAUAAGAGAAAAUAAAAUCGAGAAUCAGUCAUAGAUGAACAUGAAUGAUCUAACAAAAGCUAUAGUCAUGAACUCAUAAGCCACAAUUUGUCAAAAGAUGUAUGAUAGAUCAGCAAGCUAUGAUUAUCAAUUCUAAAAGGUUUGAAGUGUGUUCCUGUUCUACAAAUUAUUCUCAAAACAAGUUGUCAAGCAAUGAUCUUGCCAUACUGAGUCUAAGACUCCCAAAUCAAUCACAAUGGAUAUAAGUGGACCUCACUUUUCGGUAUAUUAGCCAAGAUGAACAACCACACUCAAGUGUUUAAAGUUACGCUCAUUCCCUCAUCCUAUGGCUCAAAGUGAUGUGAGCCUCUAAAUAGAGAUGUGGCAAAGUUUCGCACCUCGGUACUCGAGGACUCAAAGGCUAAGACUUCACUAGAAGUAGGUGGAUCGACCUAAAAGAGGUGAAUUGAAAAAGGUUAGAGUAAGAUGAAAUGUAGAAAGGAUAAGGGUAAAGUUACAAAAAGAGGUAACAUAACUAGUUAACUCAAACAAACCAAAAUGAUCCAUGGUUUCACACACCUUGGCAUUUAUUAACAACUAAUAAUUUUUCUAUACAAUUUUUUUUUUAUUAUUUUUUUUUUUGUAUUUUGAUGAUAAAAACAAAGAUAAUAUAAAAAUAAACAUUACACUAUCAAAAGUGGGUAGUAAAAUCAAGAGACUCUUAGAGUCGUACAAUACCAACUUUGUGUCUAAAAUUAAAAUAUCACCAUGAUAUAUGUAAGUGGUGACUUCAAGAAAAUAUAAAAAGACAAUUGCAAGCUAAAAACUCAAGCCAAGUGUGAUAAACCAACCACCAACAUACCAUCAACCAAACAAACUAGUAUGCUAAAGAGUUAGGGAUGAAGGUGAAAGAAGGUGAAAGCGAAGGGUUAUAAAGGAAAAUGGAAUGCUCGAAAGAAAGUGGGGUAUAAUGUAGGUUAACAAGAGGGUAAGAAAGAAAAGGAAUAAGCUCGAUCCAAACUAGCAACUAGAUCCAUAUAAUACCCAAGUCCUUCAAGUCAUGCCUAGUGCGCUACAAAUUCACAAUCUCAUUAAUUUACGUGAAUGCAUGGUAGGGGCUCAAUAAAUACUUACGGGUUCAAAAUAUGUCCACAAAAAUCCAAGGGCGGUGCCACAAACCAAAUCAAUGCUCAACUUUUGUUUUGAGAACUCAAGGUUCACAGGAUUGGAAAUCAAGAAAAAAUUUAGAAGAAAUAAUCUAAACUUGCCAAGGUAUUAUACAUAGAUUAAGAAUAUGGCCCAAAAUGAAAUUAAGUUAGCUACUAAAGAUCAAAAAUGUGCAUGAAUGUGAUUCAAGGCAUCGAAAACAUAACUAAAUAAAGAAAAUAGUAAUCUAGACUACAAAAGUAAUAAAUCAGAAAGAAAAUCAAUGAAAACAUGCAUAUAUACACAAGAAGAACCUAAGGAGACCAUAAACACAACACCUCCCCCCAGUCGAACUAAGCAGUGUCCUCAAUGCGACAAAGGGGCAUUAGAGAAGGUGUGAGGACGCUAGGCGUCACUCUCAUCGUCCUCUUCAUCCUCUUCAUCUCCCUCAUCAUUAUCUUCCUCAUCAUCAUCUCCCUCUUCCUGUGCUCCAGGACCAAAAGAUGUACUACCGUCCCCCUUGGAACUGUAAACAUAACCAAAAUCACCCGGUGGCGGUGUGUACCAUGAUGGGUGCACAUGACCUGGGGCGAUAUGCCCCUGGCGGUAAUGAUGGUCAUAUACCGGAUAUUGGCUUUGCUGGUAGUCGACCAUGAAUUGGUCGAUCCAGCUCUGUUGCUCCUUUAUUUGGUCAAACCGCUGAUCAUAGCCGUCCAGACGCAGGUGUAAGCGCUGUAAAGAGGCCAGGACGGGAUCAGGGUCGGUAUGGUGGGGUGAAGGUGGGGGUGGAGGUGGUGCAUGAGAGGUGCCACCAAACUCGUAGUUAGAGGAUGGGCCUCCGUGCUCAUAUGCAGGUGAGGGGCGACGUUCCUCACUUGCAGAAAAAGAGCCGCCUCGUCUUCGACGGGAGUACUGAUUGUGGAAAGCCUGAGGUGGUUGCCUUUCCACUGUUAGAGGGUCAGGUACCCACCCUUUUGGUUCAAAGAGAUAGGUGGGACGGUUUGGGAUUAAGUCGGGAAGAGCUUGGGUGGGGAGAGGGAUACCUAUUUGUCGGUCAUGAAGCUUCCACCAUGUCUGACCAUUUGAAAGUUCUAGCCACUUAGAUUGAACUAAGUGGGUCAUGCUGAUGGUGGUGGCCUCUCUAGGUAGUACCCCUUUUCCUCUUCAACCAAAAUGCAUAGCAAUUUGGGUGAUGAGUUCGCCAAACUGUAUCGGUGUUCGAACAGUGUUAGGUUGAUUAAUAGUAUGGCGGAAUGUGUGGACUAAAAGUCUAGCUAGGUUAAAGGUAAAACCCCAUUCAGGGCGGAGGAUUGAGCCUAAAAUAAUCAAAUCGUUACUAUUGGCCUUAUUGGACUCAGAUUUGGCCGUGAUGGUGAAAGCCAUGAACUUGAGCCACAUCCUGAUAACAGGGUGAUGAACCUUUUUCAGAACUAAAUUCUGCAGGUUGGUCAAGUGUUCUCCUGAUAUUAACGGCCAAAUUCGGGAAGGGUGUUGUUCAUAGUCUAGUCCUCCCCCCAUGUCGUUCAGACCAAAUAAAUCAGCAAGCUCAGUUGUAGUGAGCUGCCGCUCAAUUCCAUCUAUCCUGAAAUACAAUGAGGUUUCUCCAAACUCAUCUUGUGUUAUGGUCAAUGAACUUAAGAACUCGAGGACUAACUCAGGGUAUGUUUCUCUAUGCAUAUUGAACAUAAAACCCAUGCCUAUUGCUCUAAAAAAAUGCAUAGCAUACUCAAAUAAUCCUAGGUUUCUAAGCACAUUAGCACAAACAAACCUAGUAGGAAUGAUGGGCCUUUCUUUAAGAUUUUGAAACUUAUCUCGUUGGUCUUCAUUCCUAAAAAUUAUGUUGGGGUAGUCCUCGUCGGGUUCAACUCUUUGUGGUGAUGGAGUCCUUUCCCUCCUCCUUUGCCUCCUUUGUGCCAUUAGCUUGUUUUGAUUGAUGAUUUCCUAAAACAAAGAUUAAACAAGCAAAGAACAAAAAAUCUCUACUAAAAAGUAAAGAUUAAUUAGUAGAAAGCAAAUAAAAACUCAAAUCUUGAACAAUUUAGCAACUUUUACCUCAAUCCUACAAACCCUAAUUGUUGAUGGAUGUUGAUGAAAAUGGAACAAUGUGGAUGUAAUGUGUAAAUUUGAAGAGUGAAUGUUGUUGUUAAUGAGUGAAUGUAGAAGGAUUGAAGGAUUUUAGGGCUUAGGUUUUGAGUUUUGAGUGAGAGAAAGUAGGAGGAAAUGAUAUUGCUCGAGUGAGAAAUGAGUGUUUAGUCGAGCAAAUCUGGAUUUAAACAUGAUUCUGUCAGAUUCUGCAUCUCGCUCGACCUGUCGAGUGAAGUACAGGUUUCUUCCUUCUCUUUUUUUUUAUUGCUCGUUUUAAUUUUCUUUUAAUAUCUCCAAACAUCAUAUUUAUACGUUUUCGAACACACUAAUCGAUUGAGAAACUAUUAACUUAAUUCCCACUCCUUGUGGAUUUGACCCGUACUUGCCGACGUACUACGCUACGCCGUGCACUUGCGGUAUUACUAUUGAAGGACAUAAAGUCCCGAUCAAGUUUUUGGCGCCGUUGCCGGGGAGUGGCGACUUUGUUAAUUGUUUUUCUUGAUUAGUUAGUUCAUUGUUCUCUAUCAUUUUGAGUUGGUUUCAUUUUUUUCUUCACUUUGCACUUGACCCCGAUUUUUGAGUGUAGUGUAUGCAAACUAGGUCUCAAAGACAAGAAAAUCUUGUACCUAUAAAUCCUGAAAUUGGGAAAAGAAGAAGGAAAAGGAAACAACGAAAUAGGUCGAGCCACCUUCAGGUUCAACAUCAGAGACUUCAAGAAUGGGACAGAAUGUAAAAAUCAACUCCGCUCGACCCGAGCCAUUGUGCUCGACCAGUCGAGCAGAUAUACUGUGCUCCUGAAUUAAAUCCUGCUGAUGAUCAGAAACUUCUGAAAAUGUGAAUGCACUUCGCUCGACCCGAGCCAUCUUGCUCAAGUGGUCGAGCGGAUCUUUUUUGGCUUGUUCUUGUGGCUUGGCUCAUGAUGUUUCGCUUCUUUGAAUCCUCGGUGUUUAGGUUAAGAAGGCAUCAAAACGAUUAAGUCAUUUUUGAAAGGAGAAAAACUCAAUACUUUUGUGCAAAUUUUGUCAAGUUGUACAACAUUGACUAUUCAAUUUCACAAAUUUGUUGGCAAUAUAAUUGUUAGAGGGUGUUGGUUCCAUUAUUUUUAUACAGCUGGAGGAACGAUUAUGGAAGAGUAAUCGAGGGUGUUUUCAUAUGGGCAUCCUGUUAUAAACUAGGGAUGACAAUAUCAUAAAUUUUUUAAAAAACACUGCGUACUUAGAAAA